This 766-nucleotide ribosomal RNA is filed under the name Staphylococcus aureus. RNAcentral describes it as "bacterial SSU rRNA". It matches the Rfam family "Bacterial small subunit ribosomal RNA", at positions 28 to 776 of the family's 1533-position model. Lineage: Bacteria; Bacillati; Bacillota; Bacilli; Caryophanales; Staphylococcaceae. The record is from RNAcentral.
GAUGAACGCUGGCGGCGUGCCUAAUACAUGCAAGUCGAGCGAACGGACGAGAAGCUUGCUUCUCUGAUGUUAGCGGCGGACGGGUGAGUAACACGUGGAUAACCUACCCAUAAGACUGGGAUAACUUCGGGAAACCGGAGCUAAUACCGGAUAAUAUUUUGAACCGCAUGGUUCAAAAGUGAAAGACGGUCUUACUGUCACUUAUGGAUGGAUCCGCGCUGCAUUAGCUAGUUGGUAAGGUAACGGCUUACCAAGGCAACGAUGCAUAGCCGACCUGAGAGGGUGAUCGGCCACACUGGAACUGAGACACGGUCCAGACUCCUACGGGAGGCAGCAGUAGGGAAUCUUCCGCAAUGGGCGAAAGCCUGACGGAGCAACGCCGCGUGAGUGAUGAAGGUCUUCGGAUCGUAAAACUCUGUUAUUAGGGAAGAACAUAUGUGUAAGUAACUAUGCACAUCUUGACGGUACCUAAUCAGAAAGCCACGGCUAACUACGUGCCAGCAGCCGCGGUAAUACGUAGGUGGCAAGCGUUAUCCGGAAUUAUUGGGCGUAAAGCGCGCGUAGGCGGUUUUUUAAGUCUGAUGUGAAAGCCCACGGCUCAACCGUGGAGGGUCAUUGGAAACUGGAAAACUUGAGUGCAGAAGAGGAAAGUGGAAUUCCAUGUGUAGCGGUGAAAUGCGCAGAGAUAUGGAGGAACACCAGUGGCGAAGGCGACUUUCUGGUCUGUAACUGACGCUGAUGUGCGAAAGCGUGGGGAUCAAACAGG